UACGUAGGGGGCAAGCGUUGUCCGGAAUCAUUGGGCGUAAAGCGCGUGUAGGCGGUUCGAUAAGUCUGCUGUGAAAGUCCAGGACUCAACCCUGGGAUGCCGGUGGAUACUGUCGGGCUAGAGUACGGAAGAGGCGAGUGGAAUUCCCGGUGUAGCGGUGAAAUGCGCAGAUAUCGGGAGGAACACCAAUUGCGAAGGCAGCUCGCUGGGACGUCACUGACGCUGAGACGCGAAAGCGUGGGGAGCAAACAGG
This 253-nucleotide ribosomal RNA is filed under the name uncultured bacterium. RNAcentral's name for it is "partial 16S ribosomal RNA". It matches the Rfam family "Bacterial small subunit ribosomal RNA", at positions 524 to 776 of the family's 1533-position model. The record is from RNAcentral.